UCCCAACAGAGAUGUAUUGAUGAGGUUAGUCAAGAGAUAAUCAUCAAGAAUAACAGGAGACUAACAGCAGGAUCUGAGAGAUCCCAGCAGGAAGCCUAAAAGCCAUUUUAACGGUUGCUGUGUGUACAACAAGGAGAAAUAGGACAGCGCUACAAUGCAAGGGAACAAUUGGAAGAGACAGUCAGGAAUGACGGCUUUCAGGUGCCAAGCCCUCUUUCUUCAUAACAUUAUAUUCUGCCCUACAUCUUUUAUUGAAAACAAGCUAUUCUGGAAAAUACAAAGAGAAGAUUUCAAAUUACACCUUUGUCAAGCUAGAUUGCUUUGAACCAAUAUCUACCAUUCUUCAGCCCAAAGGAUCCGGAAGCAGGUUUAAGUUAGUAUAUUUAAUGGACUGCAAACCUUGUUUGGCUCAGGGAUGACCUAUUCUAGUGAAAUUAUUUUAUAAUAAAGAAUUAAAUGAACAAUUAAAA
This is a long non-coding RNA of Pantherophis guttatus, 470 nucleotides long. RefSeq lists it as uncharacterized. Lineage: Eukaryota; Metazoa; Chordata; Lepidosauria; Squamata; Colubridae. The record is from RefSeq and is a predicted model, not a curated record.